Girardinichthys multiradiatus is the source of this 376-nucleotide long non-coding RNA. RefSeq lists it as uncharacterized. The transcript is spliced from 2 exons. NCBI's taxonomy places the organism in Eukaryota, Metazoa, Chordata, Actinopteri, Cyprinodontiformes, Goodeidae. The record is from RefSeq and is a predicted model, not a curated record.
UCAGCAUCUACAACGGCUCUUUGAGGAAACCUUCAUAAUAUGAGCUAGAACAACAUUUAAUUUCCCUUUGGGAUUAAUAAAGUAUUUUUGAAAUGAAUUGAAGUAUCGAGCUGGUGGCUUCCUGUUAUCCUCAGUCUCCUGAACCAAGGCAGAAGCAUACCCUGUCCACCCUCCAAUGCAAGUACCUGAACAUCAAACUAACUCCUGAACUCACCAGAACUCAUUCUACAGCUCAAGUAAACCAUCUGGAUUUUCUCUGCUUCACACACCUGGGUCCUGACUCCUUCUACCCCUGGUGACUUGACUUCAGUCACUUAUUGGCGAUUCUACCAUUCACAUUCCAGUAUCACUUUGUAAAUAAAACGCCUUUCACUAA